RNAcentral lists this long non-coding RNA (686 nucleotides) under Gadus morhua (Atlantic cod). RNAcentral describes it as "lncRNA (ENSGMOG00000030575.1)". The record is from RNAcentral. Lineage: Eukaryota; Metazoa; Chordata; Actinopteri; Gadiformes; Gadidae.
AUUUUCAUACAAUUGUAUCUCUCAUGAUAAUUUUGCCUCCUUACCUCAUUGUAGAAGGUGAACCAGCCAACUGCUCGGGUUGUCUCUGGACAGAGAAAACAAGAGGAGCCAACACCUUGGGGGCAAAAAGUUGUGAUGGCCCAGGCUGAUAAACCAACAGCCAAUGAGACCAGCUUCUUGGGAUGUUCAACCAAGAUGACACACAUUGAGGACCAUGAGCCGUUUGAACCAGCACCUGAGGUCACUGCGAGCAGUCAGCAGAGCCCGCCUGAGGACAAUGGCCAGCUUGAAGAUCCUCAUGUAACACUUGGCAAUCAGAAGGUACUUAUUUUUAACAUGUUAUUCCCUGUUCCUUGUGAGUUUUCCUGCCAUUUAUUUGAUCUUGGAAAUUAGUUAAAGUAAUGUUAAUAUCAUGUACAAUUCCAUUUUUCCAUUAUACACAGCCAUGAACUACAGCUGAUUGAUUCCUAGCCUUUUUUAUGAAUUCCUUGUUAAUUUCGAUAUAAACUAUUGGUUACACUCCUUUUUGAUUGAACUACUGUUGUGUUUUUAGGCACCCUGUGAUUUUGCACCUGCCAGAGCUGCUACAUCAAGUCAUGUGACUUAUGACAACCCUGGGUGUCUUCAAGGAUCGUAUGACCAGAGCAGCCACAUAUUCGGGGAAAAUGCAGGUAAGCAGUGUGCUA